Molecule: non-coding RNA, 367 nt
Organism: Lolium perenne
Lineage: Eukaryota; Viridiplantae; Streptophyta; Magnoliopsida; Poales; Poaceae
Source: RefSeq, a predicted model, not a curated record
UUUCAGGACAACAAAGAAUGGUGACAUGGAGAUUACUCGUCUAAUAUAUUUUGGGAAGAAGUAUUUGCAUUGGAUAGUCCUGACAACAUUUGGAUACAUGACUUAUACAUUCCCUUGCUCCUGUUGCGGUGUACUCGAUUUGCUCAUCAAACUAUCCUGCAAGAACCUGCUGCGUUACUAGUGAAACACAUUGAUGAAAUACAUCGCCCCAAUUCUGAGAUGCAUGAGCGUGUCAUUGGACUACCAUGGUGAGCAGGCAAAGAGUGUAAUGAUAGUCUUGGGAGGGAGAGGGGGCAGAACUAGGUGUGGAUUUUCAAGUAGUUAUCAAUCUUGGGCCAUUCAUGCAGUUGCUUCGAUUGUACCAUGC